UAAGGAAUAUUGGUCAAUGGAGGCAACUCUGAACCAGCCAUGCCGCGUGCAGGAAGAAGGCCCUAUGGGUCGUAAACUGCUUUUGAACAAGAGAAAACCCCGGUACGUGUACUGGGUUGAUAGUAUUGUUAGAAUAAGCAUCGGCUAACUUCGUGCCAGCAGCCGCGGUAAGACGAAGGAUGCAAGCGUUAUCCGGAUUCAUUGGGUUUAAAGGGUGCGUAGGCGGACUGAUAAGUCAGUGGUGAAAUCUCUCGGCUUAACCGAGAAACUGCCAUUGAUACUGUUAGUCUAGAGUACAGAUGAUGUGGGCGGAAUAUGACAUGUAGUGGUGAAAUACUUAGAUAUGUCAUAGAACACCGAUUGCGAAGGCAGCUCACAAAACUGUAAACUGACGCUGAGGCACGAAAGUGCGGGGAUCAAACAGGAUUAGAUACCCCGGUAGUCCCUGAGCGGGCUGGCAAGGCGCAU
RNAcentral lists this ribosomal RNA (468 nucleotides) under uncultured bacterium. RNAcentral describes it as "bacterial SSU rRNA". It matches the Rfam family "Bacterial small subunit ribosomal RNA", at positions 355 to 825 of the family's 1533-position model. The record is from RNAcentral.